This is a long non-coding RNA of Gigantopelta aegis, 1292 nucleotides long. RefSeq lists it as uncharacterized. The transcript has 2 exons. The record is from RefSeq and is a predicted model, not a curated record. Lineage: Eukaryota; Metazoa; Mollusca; Gastropoda; Neomphalida; Peltospiridae.
CUAACAACGUUAUGAUAUAAAAGCAAACGCGAUGACGUCAUAUUAUUAUUAUUAUUAUUUUUUUUUUUUUUUUUUUUUUUUUUUAUAAUGAUACCACAUUAAUUGUGUCAAAUACUUUGGAGGCUUUCACCCCUCUUGAAGAGCAUUCCAUAAAAAAGCAACAUGGCAGAAAACUGCAUGUAUUUUUCCCUAUGCAAUCUCAGCAAAGACGAUAUCGGCGACACGUUGCAGUCUCGUGUGUGGGGAAUCUGUAUAUUUGUAGUGGGUUUUUUUGCGAUUUCUGUGUGGACAAACUUUGGAGGAAAUCCAACGGCAAUUAAAGGUAGGAGAGUAAUUUUUCGUAGUUAAGAAUUUGGUUCGGACACUAGUACAACGAUCAAAAACACGUUUAAUAUACAGCCACUAAUAUAUUUGAUAUGUAAUUACAUUCGUCGAAACGUCUGUUAGUCAAUAACAUCUAAAAAAAAAAAAAAAAUUGCAGCAAACUCAGGAAUGUCCCUUUAACAUAAACAUAUAAGUACCAUUUGUGACAUCGAAUAGCCGAUGUGUAUUUGUUGUGCUGCGGUGUCAUUAAACAUUCAUUCAUUCACUCCAGUUAACGAGACAUAAUAUAUUCGGCAACAGAAAUGUUUUUGGAAUCUUUAAAUUCCACCCAGAAUUAAUUUUAAAGUUAAAUUAAAAAACCACUGAUUUUUAUACAAAGUUUUCACAUAUACUUCCCUUGAUUUGUGUAUUGUAUUAUACUUUUAAGUGGUUUUAUAUAAUUAUAUAAAUAAUAUUUUCAUAUACUUACCAUUUGUGACAACCAGUAGACGAUGUGUAUUUUUGUGUUGGGGUGUCGUUAAACACUCCUUCUUUCAUUAAUUAUUUUUUGCAUUUGCCAUAGUUUGAUACCCAAUAGCCGAUGUAUUUUUCGUGCUGUGGUGUUAAACAUUCAAACAGGUUCAUUGUUGUUGGUUGGGACAUUUUGUUUUGUUUUGGGUUGGGGUUUUAUAUAUGGAAUAUGGAAUAAGUACUUGUAGUCAAAAUAAGAUAUGGCGAUGAUAACGUAUGAAUAUAUUAUUAAACAGUUUCAGUGUCCAUGAUUGCGGGAGCCAAAGCCUGCUGCUGCUGCCAUCGGGACAAGAAGAAGUAACGAUCGAAAUCAUAGGUCUAUUACAAACGGCUACAAGUCGAAAAUAUUGCCAUGCCUAACUGAAGAUGAACGACAAGAAUCCUAUUAUAAAUGUUUUAUAAGCAGUAAUGAUACAUUUGAUAAUUUUAUACUUUGAAAUAAAUGUCUGUCAAGUGUG